Molecule: ribosomal RNA, 514 nt
Filed under: uncultured bacterium
Lineage: Bacteria
Description: partial 16S ribosomal RNA
Rfam family: Bacterial small subunit ribosomal RNA
Source: RNAcentral
AUUGAACGCUGGCGGCAGGCCUAACACAUGCAAGUCGAGCGAACAGAUGAGAAGCUUGCUUCUCUGAUGUUAGCGGCGGACGGGUGAGUAACACGUGGGUAACCUACCUAUAAGACUGGGAUAACUCCGGGAAACCGGGGCUAAUACCGGAUAAUAUUUUGAACCGCAUGGUUCAAUAGUGAAAGACGGUUUCGGCUGUCACUUAUAGAUGGACCCGCGCCGUAUUAGCUAGUUGGUAAGGUAACGGCUUACCAAGGCGACGAUACGUAGCCGACCUGAGAGGGUGAUCGGCCACACUGGAACUGAGACACGGUCCAGACUCCUACGGGAGGCAGCAGUAGGGAAUCUUCCGCAAUGGGCGAAAGCCUGACGGAGCAACGCCGCGUGAGUGAUGAAGGUCUUCGGAUCGUAAAACUCUGUUGUGAGGGAAGAACAAAUUUGUUAGUAACUGAACAAGUCUUGACGGUACCUAACCAGAAAGCCACGGCUAACUACGUGCCAGCCGCCGCCGUAA